UUGGCGGCCUUCUAUCUAACCAGAGAAACUCGUAUUUUAAUCCGAUAAUCCGCGUUAAAUUCUCUCUCGAAUUUAUAGUAUUUAUAUCGCCGUCUAAAGAUUUAAUUUAAAUAUUUAAUCAAAAAAGAACCUCCCCACCCCACGUCAGGUCGAGAUAAAGCCAAUACUCGAGCAAUCCGAGUUACACAUAUUAUUCAAAUAAACCCUUAAAAUCAAAAUUUCAAAAAAUUAGGAUUUGAAAGUAAUACGUAUGAUAAUAUCCUACCAUGAAUUUGAAAACAAGGUGUACAUAUCGCCCGUCACCCUCGUCCAAAGAUGAGGUAAGUCGUAACACAGUUAAUAUACUGGAAAGUGUAUUAAGUG
RNAcentral lists this ribosomal RNA (363 nucleotides) under Phlogiellus sp. ZSM-A 2017/0071. Its description in RNAcentral is "partial 12S ribosomal RNA". Lineage: Eukaryota; Metazoa; Arthropoda; Arachnida; Araneae; Theraphosidae. The record is from RNAcentral.